GCUGUUGGAGUGCACGUCCAAGCAGUGAGAUUGAGUGUUAGGCAAAUCCGGCACUCUUAAGAUUGAGCUGUGAUGGGGAGAGGAACUUGUUCCUCGAGUCGUUGAUUUCACACUGCCGAGAAAAGCCUCUAGCUAGAAUAACGGUGCCCGUACCGCAAACCGACACAGGUAGUCAAGAUGAGAAUUCUAAGGUGAGCGAGCGAACUCUCGUUAAGGAACUCGGCAAAAUGACCCCGUAACUUCGGGAGAAGGGGUGCUCUUUGAGGUUCACGCUUCGAAGAGCCGCAGUGAAUAGGCCCAAGCGACUGUUUAUCAAAAACACAGGUCUCUGCUAAACCGUAAGGUGACGUAUAGGGGCUGACGCCUGCCCGGUGCUGGAAGGUUAAGAGGAGUGGUUAGCGCAAGCGAAGCUACGAAUCGAAGCCCCAGUAAACGGCGGCCGUAACUAUAACGGUCCUAAGGUAGCGAAAUUCCUUGUCGGGUAAGUUCCGACCCGCACGAAAGGCGUAACGAUUUGGGCACUGUCUCAACGAGAGACUCGGUGAAAUCAUAGUACCGGUGAAGAUGCCGGUUACCCGCGACAGGACGGAAAGACCCCGUGGAGCUUUACUGUAGCCUGAUAUUGAAAUUCGGUACAGUUUGUACAGGAUAGGUAGGAGCCUUAGAAGCGUGAGCGCUAGCUUACGUGGAGGCAUUGGUGGGAUACUACCCUAAUUGUAUUGGAUUUCUAACCCGCAGCACUUAUCGUGCUGGGAGACAGUGUCAGGCGGGCAGUUUGACUGGGGCGGUCGCCUCCUAAAGAGUAACGGAGGCGCUCAAAGGUUCCCUCAGAAUGGUUGGAAAUCAUUCAUAGAGUGUAAAGGCAUAAGGGAGCUUG
This 877-nucleotide ribosomal RNA is filed under the name Staphylococcus pseudintermedius. RNAcentral describes it as "partial 23S ribosomal RNA". It matches the Rfam family "Bacterial large subunit ribosomal RNA", at positions 1494 to 2371 of the family's 2925-position model. Lineage: Bacteria; Bacillati; Bacillota; Bacilli; Caryophanales; Staphylococcaceae. The record is from RNAcentral.